RNAcentral lists this ribosomal RNA (309 nucleotides) under uncultured eukaryote. RNAcentral describes it as "partial 18S ribosomal RNA". It matches the Rfam family "Eukaryotic small subunit ribosomal RNA", at positions 1470 to 1796 of the family's 1831-position model. The record is from RNAcentral.
CCCUUAGAUGUUCUGGGCGGCCCGCGCACUACAUUGGCACUGGCAACAAGAUCCUAGAUCUGGUAUUUCGGGGUAUUCUACCAACUGGUGUCGUGACUGGGAUUAACCCCUGCAAUUAUUGGUUAUGAACGAGGAAUUCCUUGUAAUCACGGUUUAUCAACCCGUGUUGAAUGCGUCCCUGCCCUUUGUACACACCGCCCGUCGCUCCUACCGAUGAAUCGUCCGGUGAAGUUCAUGGAGUCGCGGCUGCUCCAGCUGUUUUCGAAGUGAAAUGGACCUCAUGAUUUAGAGGAAGGAGANGUCGUAACA